UCGGUCUGGUGGCGAGUGGCGAACGGGUGAGUAAUAUAUCGGAACGUGCCCAGUCGUGGGGGAUAACGUAGUGAAAAUUACGCUAAUACCGCAUACGAUCUAAGGAUGAAAGCGGGGGAUCGCAAGACCUCGCGCGAUUGGAGCGGCCGAUAUCAGAUUAGGUAGUUGGUGAGGUAAAGGCUCACCAAGCCAACGAUCUGUAGCUGGUCUGAGAGGACGACCAGCCACACUGGAACUGAGACACGGUCCAGACUCCUACGGGAGGCAGCAGUGGGGAAUUUUGGACAAUGGACGCAAGUCUGAUCCAGCCAUUCCGCGUGCAGGACGAAGGCCUUCGGGUUGUAAACUGCUUUUGUACAGAACGAAAAGGUCUCUAUUAAUACUAGGGGCUCAUGACGGUACUGUAAGAAUAAGCACCGGCUAACUACGUGCCAGCAGCCGCGGUAAUACGUAGGGUGCAAGCGUUAAUCGGAAUUACUGGGCGUAAAGCGUGCGCAGGCGGUUAUAUAAGACAGAUGUGAAAUCCCCGGGCUCAACCUGGGAACUGCAUUUGUGACUGUAUAGCUGGAGUGCGGCAGAGGGGGAUGGAAUUCCGCGUGUAGCAGUGAAAUGCGUAGAUAUGCGGAGGAACACCGAUGGCGAAGGCAAUCCCCUGGGCCUGCACUGACGCUCAUGCACGAAAGCGUGGGGAGCAAACAGG
Molecule: ribosomal RNA, 700 nt
Filed under: uncultured beta proteobacterium
Lineage: Bacteria; Pseudomonadati; Pseudomonadota; Betaproteobacteria
Description: bacterial SSU rRNA
Rfam family: Bacterial small subunit ribosomal RNA
Source: RNAcentral